Molecule: ribosomal RNA, 670 nt
Filed under: Mycobacterium sp. Z1-YC6847
Lineage: Bacteria; Bacillati; Actinomycetota; Actinomycetes; Mycobacteriales; Mycobacteriaceae
Description: bacterial SSU rRNA
Rfam family: Bacterial small subunit ribosomal RNA
Source: RNAcentral
GUGCCGUGAUCUUGCCCUGCACUUUGGGAUAAGCCUGGGAAACUGGGUCUAAUACCGAAUAGGACCGCAUGCUUCAUGGUGUGUGGUGGAAAGCUUUUGCGGUGUGGGAUGGGCCCGCGGCCUAUCAGCUUGUUGGUGGGGUAAUGGCCUACCAAGGCGACGACGGGUAGCCGGCCUGAGAGGGUGUCCGGCCACACUGGGACUGAGAUACGGCCCAGACUCCUACGGGAGGCAGCAGUGGGGAAUAUUGCACAAUGGGCGCAAGCCUGAUGCAGCGACGCCGCGUGAGGGAUGACGGCCUUCGGGUUGUAAACCUCUUUCAGCAGGGACGAAGCGCAAGUGACGGUACCUGUAGAAGAAGCACCGGCCAACUACGUGCCAGCAGCCGCGGUAAUACGUAGGGUGCGAGCGUUGUCCGGAAUUACUGGGCGUAAAGAGCUCGUAGGUGGUUUGUCGCGUUGUUCGUGAAAACUCACAGCUCAACUGUGGGCGUGCGGGCGAUACGGGCAGACUUGAGUACUGCAGGGGAGACUGGAAUUCCUGGUGUAGCGGUGGAAUGCGCAGAUAUCAGGAGGAACACCGGUGGCGAAGGCGGGUCUCUGGGCAGUAACUGACGCUGAGGAGCGAAAGCGUGGGGAGCGAACAGGAUUAGAUACCCUGGUAGUCCACG